GAUGAACGCUAGCGGCAGGCUUAAUACAUGCAAGUCGUGGGGCAGCAGGACUGUAGCAAUCCAGUUGCUGGCGACCGGCAAACGGGUGCGGAACACGUACGCAACUUACCCUGAACUGGGGGAUAGCCCGGGGAAACCCGGAUUAAUACCCCGUAAUAUAAUGGAGUGGCAUCACUUUAUUAUUAAAGCUCCGGCGGUUCGGGAUGGGCGUGCGGCUGAUUAGGUAGUUGGUUGAGGUAACGGCUCACCAAGCCUACGAUCAGUAACUGGUGUGAGAGCACGACCAGUCAGACGGGCACUGAGGCCCGGGCACGACUCGUACGGGAGGCAGCAGUAAGGAAUAUUGGGCACUGGAGGCAACUCUGACCCAGCCAUGCCGGGUGGAGGAUGCAGGCCCUCUGGGUUGUAAACUUCUUUUAUAGGGGACGAAACCUGUGUAUUCUUACGCAGUUGACGGUACCCAAGGAAUAAGCACCGGCUAACUCCGUG
This 489-nucleotide ribosomal RNA is filed under the name uncultured bacterium. RNAcentral's name for it is "partial 16S ribosomal RNA". It matches the Rfam family "Bacterial small subunit ribosomal RNA", at positions 28 to 507 of the family's 1533-position model. The record is from RNAcentral.